Molecule: ribosomal RNA, 253 nt
Filed under: uncultured bacterium
Lineage: Bacteria
Description: partial 16S ribosomal RNA
Rfam family: Bacterial small subunit ribosomal RNA
Source: RNAcentral
UACGGAGGAUGCAAGCGUUAUCCGGAAUGAUUGGGCGUAAAGCGUCCGCAGGUGGCUGUGUAAGUCUGCUGUUAAAGAGUGAGGCUCAACCUCAUAAAGGCAGUGGAAACUACAUAGCUAGAGUACGGUCGGGGUAGAAGGAAUUCCUGGUGUAGCGGUGAAAUGCGUAGAGAUCAGGAAGAACACCGGUGGCGAAAGCGUUCUGCUAGACCUGUACUGACGCUGAGGCGCGAAAGCGUGGGGAGCAAACAGG